Non-coding RNA from Meleagris gallopavo (turkey), 637 nucleotides. Lineage: Eukaryota; Metazoa; Chordata; Aves; Galliformes; Phasianidae. The record is from RefSeq and is a predicted model, not a curated record.
UGGCUCCUUUUAGCCUGCUUCCUUAGCAGUUAGAGGACUCUGAGAUGAGAGAUUUUCUCCCCCAGAAGAUAUUUUUUGUUGCUCCAUGUCUGAAGCCCAAACACCACCUCUGCAGCUGCAUUAUAACAAAAACAAGCCAUACAUUCCAGUGAAUCAGUGAUUGCUACAAGCAAUGUGAAUUUUAAGAGAACGCUGCUUUCUGGAUGUUAUUUGAACUAGCAGCUGUCCAGAAUCCUCAGCUCACCUCUUAGCAAGAAAGAACAUGUCAGGGUAUGAUGCGUGGGAAAUCCAGAACAAAGCAAGUGUGAAAGAAAUAACUGUGUAUGCAAUCAGAAGCAGGAGGAACAAGAUCCCCCCCUUUUGGUAAAGACCAACUACUAGAACUACUCAUGAUAGUCUUGUUUCAUUCCACUCUAUUAUUUUGCAGAGCAGUACAACAGUUGUUUUCAUUAUAUAUUCUUAAACAGUCAGUGUUUCUUUGUUCCUUGAAAAGAAAGAAAAAGUUCUGGAAUACACAUUGGUCAGGGAGCACGUUUGAUCCCUUUUACAACUCUUGCAUGUUACAGAUUUUGACAAUAAAAAUGUGCUCAACAUCAUAAUCUGUGGAUGUAAUUGACAUCACUAAGUCCUUUUUGAC